GGAGGUUAAACUCCUCCCUNGUG
RNAcentral lists this transfer RNA (23 nucleotides) under Pseudobarbus burgi (Berg River redfin). RNAcentral's name for it is "partial tRNA-Thr". Lineage: Eukaryota; Metazoa; Chordata; Actinopteri; Cypriniformes; Cyprinidae. The record is from RNAcentral.